CUGCAGCCCGAGUGGUGAUCGAUUUUAUUGAGCCUAAAGCGUCCGUAGCCGGACUAGUAAACCCUUGGGUAAAUUAGGCAGCUUAACUGUCCAAAUUCCGAGGGGACUGCUAGUCUUGGGACCGGGAGAGGUCAGAGGUACUCAAGGGGUAGGGGCUAAAUCCUGUAAUCCUUUGGGGACCACCAGUGGCGAAGGCGUCUGACUAGAACGGAUCCGACGGUAAGGGACGAAACCCUGGGGCGCGAACCGGAUUAGAUACCCGAGUAGUCC
Molecule: ribosomal RNA, 270 nt
Filed under: uncultured archaeon
Lineage: Archaea
Description: partial 16S ribosomal RNA
Rfam family: Archaeal small subunit ribosomal RNA
Source: RNAcentral